RNAcentral lists this ribosomal RNA (501 nucleotides) under uncultured bacterium. RNAcentral's name for it is "partial 16S ribosomal RNA". It matches the Rfam family "Bacterial small subunit ribosomal RNA", at positions 30 to 523 of the family's 1533-position model. The record is from RNAcentral.
AUUGAACGCUGGCGGCAGGCUUAACACAUGCAAGUCGAGCGGGGGAAGGUAGCUUGCUACCGGACCUAGCGGCGGACGGGUGAGUAAUGCUUAGGAAUCUGCCUAUUAGUGGGGGACAACAUCUCGAAAGGGAUGCUAAUACCGCAUACGUCCUAUGGGAGAAAGCAGGGGAUCUUCGGUCCUUGCGCUAAUAGAUGAGCCUAAGUCGGAUUAGCUAGUUGGUGGGGUAAAGGCCUACCAAGGCGACGAUCUGUAGCGGGUCUGAGAGGAUGAGCGGCCACACCGGGACUGAGACACGGCCCAGACUCCUACGGGAGGCAGCAGUGGGGAAUAUUGGACAAUGGGGGGAACCCUGACCCAGCCAUGCCGCGUGUGUGAAGAAGGCCUUAUGGUUGUAAAGCACUUUAAGCGAGGAGGAGGCUACUUUAGUUAAUACCUAGAGAUAGUGGACGUUACUCGCAGAAUAAGCACCGGCUAACUCUGUGCCAGCAGCCGCCGUAA